AGUGAACGCUGGCGGUAGGCCUAACACAUGCAAGUCGAACGGCAGCACAGUAAGAGCUUGCUCUUACGGGUGGCGAGUGGCGGACGGGUGAGGAAUACAUCGGAAUCUACUUUUUCGUGGGGGAUAACGUAGGGAAACUUACGCUAAUACCGCAUACGACCUACGGGUGAAAGCAGGGGAUCUUCGGACCUUGCGCGAUUGAAUGAGCCGAUGUCGGAUUAGCUAGUUGGCGGGGUAAAGGCCCACCAAGGCGACGAUCCGUAGCUGGUCUGAGAGGAUGAUCAGCCACACUGGAACUGAGACACGGUCCAGACUCCUACGGGAGGCAGCAGUGGGGAAUAUUGGACAAUGGGCGCAAGCCUGAUCCAGCCAUACCGCGUGGGUGAAGAAGGCCUUCGGGUUGUAAAGCCCUUUUGUUGGGAAAGAAAAGCAGCAGGUUAAGACCCCGCUGUUCUGACGGGACCCAAAGAAUAAGCACCGGCUAACUGCGU
This 491-nucleotide ribosomal RNA is filed under the name uncultured bacterium. RNAcentral describes it as "partial 16S ribosomal RNA". It matches the Rfam family "Bacterial small subunit ribosomal RNA", at positions 29 to 506 of the family's 1533-position model. The record is from RNAcentral.